GGGCCUAUAGCUCAGCGGUCAGAGCAGCGGACUCAUAAUCCGUUGGUCGCAGGUUCAAAUCCUGCUGGGCCCA
Molecule: transfer RNA, 73 nt
Filed under: Bacteroidota bacterium
Lineage: Bacteria; Pseudomonadati; Bacteroidota
Also listed under: 1 other name
Description: Bacteroidetes bacterium tRNA-Ile
Rfam family: tRNA
About the family: Transfer RNA (tRNA) molecules are approximately 80 nucleotides in length.
Source: RNAcentral